CAGCCGCCGCGGUAAUACCGGCGGCCCGAGUGGCGGCCACUAUUAUUGGGCUUAAAGCGUCCGUAGCCGGGUUGGUUAGUCUCCCGGGAAAUCUGGCCGCUUAACGGUCAGAAUUCCGGGAGAUACUGCCAGCCUAGGGACCGGGAGAGGCCGAGGGUAUUCCCGGAGUAGGGGUGAAAUCCUAUAAUCCCGGGAGGACCACCUGUGGCGAAGGCGCUCGGCUGGAACGGGUCCGACGGUGAGGGACGAAGGCCAGGGGAGCAAACCGGAGUAGAUACCCGGGUAGUCCUGGCGGUAAACGAUGCGGACUUUGUGUCGGACAAGCUAUGAGCUUGUCCGGUGCCGGAGGGAAACCGUUAAGUCCGCCGCCUGGGGAGUACGGCCGCAAGGCUGAAACUUAAAGGAAUUGGCGGG
Molecule: ribosomal RNA, 414 nt
Filed under: uncultured microorganism
Description: bacterial SSU rRNA
Rfam family: Archaeal small subunit ribosomal RNA
Source: RNAcentral